AACGUUUAUAAAAGUGGUUGACGAAAGACAUAUGAUUAGAUACGUUAGGAACUUUCUUAGGAACAUGCGAAUCUUUUAAGAUCUUUCGUAUGGACUUUGUAGAUUUUUAAGAACAUUUUUAAGAAUUUUGCGGAUUUUAAGCGUUCACAUUGACGAACUUUACCGACUUUGUCAAGAAUUUACUCAGACUUUGUACGCAUUUGAGAAAGACUCGUUAUAACACUCGUUAAUUAUUAUCGUUUGAUUAUUACCAAAUACUGAAUCAAGAAACGAGUAAUCAUAAAAUUCGAUUGUGACACCUCGAUAUCCAUGAGCAAUCACAUUACUCGCGAUCGUCGUUUAAUUUUCAUGAAAUUCCUCUUCGAUAGAGAGACGCAUCAUGCACGAAGCUAAGCCCCGUUACCAUGCCACGAUCUGCAUUUAAAGAGCCCGGCAAUCGGACUUCUGCCAAAUUGUAUCGAAGUUUCCAGCAGUCUCUUAAGCCUGCCUGCUUUCCUUCCCUCUCUCUCAUUCACCUUCGAACUUGUGCAAAGUGGAUGUAUCCAUCCACGAUUGGCGAGUUUUCUAGACGUUUCGGUGAUUCAUGGGAAGCAAAGAAAGAAACGGAAGGGAAAGACAGAAACAGCAAGAUAGAGAGAUAGAGAAAAAGCAAAGAUGCCAGCGUGAAGAUUGUGCAACGUUGGGAAUGCCACCCUCGAAGAGGGGCGCGGGAACUGUGUAAGAAGGAAGACAAGGGAAAGCGGGUCGUUGCAGGAUGCAAUUACGGCCAUUUAACGAAGUUUCGAGAUUAGCCGCGGACGCGGAGUUGGGUGCUCGCGUUUCAUUUAGUUUCGGAAUCCAUUAUCCUUUCACCCAGCUCUUCCUCCAACCUAACCUCACUGCCACUUCGUACCUACCAUCGUCUCUCCACGCUCCUUCGUUUCCUAGCCGUGUCCGUCUUUGUCACCGCGGCGUGAAUGUCAUCCGAUGGAUUCGCCGAUAGCUGAGUCGAGACGAACCUACCGACUAAAGGAUGGGGAUGACACGGGGCGGAGAGAGGGUAACCAUGCCGUUGGUAUAUAUGUAUAAGAGAGGGUGAACUUUGGGUUUGCUCUCCUUCCAGUGGGAACGCUUAAUUAUUCCGAGCCAAGGCCAGCUAGCCAGCUAGCCAGCCAGCUAGCCAGCCAGGCAGCCAGCCAGGGUCCGUCAGUUGGUUAGUCGGACCAGUUCCGCUAGGUAAACCAGUCUGCUAACCAAGGUCCAGAAUUUCCUCCUUAUUUUCUUUGCCGUUUCUUCGCUCUUUCUUCCCUGUUCGAGCUUUUCGCGUUUGUAUUUGUCACGCGCGCCGUGUCCUCGUGAAAGAGGGGAAGCCUUCGAAAAGAGACUUUAUAGAGAGGUCGCAGUUUUGAGGAGUCGCGUUAAUUCCUUUGUUAAAGCCUUUCGACCGUCCUUUGUUAGCAUCGUGAGAAUUCCUCGUGGAUCCUCAAUGACACGAAAUCGUCGAGAUCUUCUUUCACUCGCCGUUGUAUUUCCUUUCCUCUUUCGAAGAAUCUUCCUCUUCUCUUGACGAACGAAGGGGACUAAGAUCUCCAAGGGAAUACAAGAGAAACUACAGGGGUCGAAAGGGGAGACAGAAAAAGCAUACAGACCAUCGGGGAGACAAUGUUUCGUCCACGUGUCGUCAUUAUCGAUCAUGUAGAGGGAAAGACAGAGAGAGAGAGAGAGAGUGAGUGAGUGAGAGAGAGAGGGGGGAAAAAGAAGGAGAACGAAAUGGGGAGGAACAACUAAAAGCGAUAAAGUUGAUCGAUGAUAUUCCUAACGCCUCUUUGUUCUCUAUCGAGCGGCUUGACACGAAAGUUCAUCGGGCGUAUGCGUUCACAGGGACAGAGGUUUCCUGAUAUAAUCUGUCGCGCUAUUACAUCACCAGCGAUCGACUUUUGAUGUUCCCUGAUGAAAUUAACCUCGGAAAGAUAGCUUAAAUCGAUUACUGGGAACACGAAUGGCCGCCUCUGCUGAAACGUUAAUAAUUAUUCGGGCGCAGCACUUAGGGAUGAUUAUCAGCGAUAGCGAAUCGUUAUUCAACUUUAGCUCAACGUCCGUUUUUGCGGGACUGGUCGACCACCUCGAUCUACCCGUUGAUCUACGGGAUGACCAUAGGUGAAGAGAGAACAGAGAACCGUCAGGGAAAACUUCUCGUGAGGUUUGUGCCGGAGUUGGAUAUAAUUACGAGUUGCGGUAACGACCGCCUACUAUAGAGAAGUUCGUCGUGUGCGCGAACUUUGAACACCCCGUUCGACACAGUGGCGAUGUAUUGCCGAAAAUUCAAGAUUGGACGACAGCAACUGUCAGACGUAAGACACUUGGAUGGUAUCGUGUACGAUGUAUUUUCCGAUACGCGUAACAUAUCGUGUGAAUAAAUUGUGGUUGAUGAAAAUUUGCAAAAGGGAAUUGAUAGAACUUGAUGAAUGUAUCUGUAAAAUCAGGAAUACCUCGAGAAGACUUCUUUUGUCUUAAUUAAGCGUGCUGGAGAGUUUGCACUACAAAAGUUUUAUGGAUGUUGCUGAAACAGGAUAAAUGUGCGUGCAAGAUAGCGAUGGAAAAUGCUGUAUAAAUUCUUGGUAAAAAAUGUGCCAAGAAAGUUUUAAAAAACGAAUCCUGCAAUAGAAUGUCACCAUAAGACACGGAUUUACUAGGAAGUUUACUUAUUGAUUUAAUUCGGGUUUGCUUGUCUUAAAUUAUUGAAAUAGGUUUCCCGUUACUGAAGCUUGCUGUCAUCGAUAGUGAGAAACUAGUUUAUGUCCUAUUUUCUUUCGUAAAAUUGGACAGCUCUGUAUCUAAAAAUUAUAAAAACACAACUCUUUGCUUUAAACAUUAACAUUAAAUAUUUCAUUUCACAUCAUUACUAUUACCAAUACCAAACAGUACUCGUUUAAUAAGCUUCUGUAAAUUUCACGAAUAUUUCCUUCUUUUACAAAGUUUUGUUCAAUAGUAUUAACAGUUUCAAAUCUAACUACAUAUUUGGUACCUCUUAAACUCCAUUAUUCGACUUAAAACAUUUUAAUCCGCGUGAUUAUCAAGGGGAUGUACCGGAGAAGUACAGCGUUGCAUAGAUAUUUGGUUGCAGAUCGAAUUGAUCGGUCUCGUAACAGCGUUUAAGCUUCGGCGAAACAUCAAAGUGACCAGUCAAAUUAAUAUUCGCGCACUACCUACGAACCGUUAAAUGUUUAGUUAAUUGAAUCUCACAAUGGGGGCUCCAUAUAAUUCGGAGAUGCGAGAGAAAAGGAACGAGAUAGAUUCGGUCGUCCGAAAGCUCGAGCAUCGAUUCAAUCGACGUAGAAGACAGAGCUGGAAUGGAAAGUUUCGGACCGGAUAGAACGGGGACGCGGAUAUUCGUUGCCAUUUUGCUUGCACAUCUGAAAUUCAAUUUCCCAGCCAAAAGCUGUCGGGGAAGUUCCCAUCAAUGGCGGCUCUGCUGGCGCCGUCGCGGUGGAGUGUGAAAGAGAGAAGAAUGGAGAUUGACAACAGACGCGAGCGAACGUUAAAACGUUUCCUUGAAAAUAUCCAAUGGAACUGCGAACUUUUCUGACGCUUUAAGCUACCGUGAAAGCAGCUUUGUUUGGGUCGACGACUGAUUAAAGAGUCUGAAGGCAAGACGAUCGAGGUGAGACGUUGCUAUCACCAUCGUACGAAGAAUUUGACGUGACACGGCGCGACUAGUCGAGACGACACGCGAAAACGAAAACGAAUCCGAUCGAUGAACGCGCUAAACUUUACCAAACUUACCGACGAUAAACGCUUAAUAUUUCACGGCGAAGUCGGCUGAACAAAACUCGAUAAUCAAUACGGAUGACACGGUUAAAAGUUCGUUGGCCGUUGUUCGAUAUUUGUCGGUUCUUUCAAAUCUUUCACGCUUCACCGUACUCUGUAGACUGCUUUUGUUUCGCGAUCAAAUUAGUGUAACAAUGGUGGAUUGCUUGUAACAGUGUUGACCGAACAAUGUUCGUGGAUUUUGUGAUUUGAAUGAAAGGAUUAAUCGAUCGUGUACAAGCCAACUUUGAUUUAGCUAAAACGUAACAGAUUUAUGAGGUGCUAUAUAUCGUUAAUUUCAUGUACAUAUGAUAUGGAUUAAAUUUUUAAAAUAUUUAUAUAGUAUUUGACAAAAAUACUAUAAAAUACAGGCGACACCGUCGGUGGUCCUUUUUCAAGGGGAUGAAACCUUCGACGCAGUUUCAUUAUUCUCGACUCUGGUUUUAUCUUUUAGCCAUCAAAUAUCUUCAAAUUCGUUUGUACCAAGAUUUUAAACUCACGGUGUAUAUACUAAAGCGGAGACAAAUAAAUCGGCAUAACGUUUUGUUACUAGCAAAUGUGUAGUAUAGAUUUAUCUGUCCACGUUCACUAGUGAAAGUGUAAGUACGUAUCCCGUAAGCACUCCAACUGUUUGCCUUUGGUGAAUGUUUUAAGACUUUGAAUACUAAAAAUACAAGGAGAGUGGUACUUUAUGUGCGUCAAGAUAUCAUAAUACUCUAACGUGCUGUUACAAAUCGAAAUUUCAAUCAAAAGUCUUCUUUAUUAUUUUAUUUUAACCUUACUUUGCCACAAUUGGUAUAGAUCAAGAAAGACGGAGAUUGUGCAAUGUGAGUUUAAAGUGAUUAUAAUAGUAAGUCUGAAUUUAUUAAUUUCAAACGAUUACUUCCAAUUUCGAAGUAUAUUCGCUGUUAUAGUUUACCCAUUUCCCUAUUUAUUGACGGCAGACACUCGUUUAUAAAAAGAAAAGAGAAAGGAAAUUAUAUAUGUACCAAAUACAGUGUAAUCUAUAAAUAAUACAGUGAGAUGGCAACGAACAAAGAUCUAGAGCGAGAUACGAUCUCGUGUUUGCACAAAUGAGGCAACUGGCUACUUCUAACAGUGUGCGACAGUUGUCAUUUAUAUGUGUUCGGUGCAACAAUCCGACUAGUGCAGUACAUCGAACUAACAUUACCUGACUUUUAGCAAGUUCGACCAGCAGAUUAACGAUUCGAUGGAAUUCUUUCGUGGUCUGCAGAAUCGAGGUGGGCCGGCGUAAACUUUUAUCUUUACAUGCAAGAAAGUUUAGCCAGCGCACGUGGCGCGGUUACAGAAAAAGCCACCAUCCUUCCUUCGCCGCCGCCCACCGUCGCCCCGAGGAACCUCGCGCAUCUAAUAUAUAUAGCCGCUAAUGCAAAACCCAUAAUUAUCGCGGCGUAGAGAGAACCCUAAAGUGAUGUUCCAUUAACCGCAAAUGGUCCUCUCCGAAUUUCUAUUUCAGACUGGAACUCCGCGCUAUUUAUCAUUCUGAACGGUACGAAGGAGGAGCACUUGGACAUGCUGGACGGUGGUAUUAUUCAGCGAUUACUCGAGGAAAAAUGGAAGACCUUUGCGCGGUUGCAGUUCUUGAAACGGUUGAUCAUCCUGGUGUUCCAUCUGACAUCACUCUCGCUAGCCGUGUAUAUGAGACCGUCGAACAUCGAUGCCACUCUCCUGGAAUGGCCAGAAGAAAUCACGGAGGUUGGACGCAUGAUUGCGGAGUGCACCACGGUGAUAGGUGUGCUGAGCUACAUUUUGGUGCAACUAGGCGGCGAGGUCGUCAACAUUGGUCUUCUAUCGUUCAUGAAACAAUUGAGUCACGAGCCUGCCAAGCUCAUAUUCUUGAUCAGCAAUCUGCUCAUACUCGCGUGCAUACCAUGUCGUCUUGCUGGUAAUAGGCAUGCUGAAGACGCGAUACUCGUGGUUGCUGUUCCCGGCUCUUGGUUCCUCCUCAUGUUCUUUGCUGGCGCUAUCCGGUUGACCGGUCCAUUCGUUACCAUGGUCUACAGUAUGAUAACCGGUGACAUGUUGACCUUUGGGAUAAUCUACAUGGUGGUGCUGUUCGGAUUUUGCCAGUCGUUCUACUUUUUGUACAAAGGCUUCCCGGGAGUGAAAUCAUCCCUCUACAGUUCCUAUCAUUCGACCUGGAUGGCACUGUUUCAGAUAACCCUCGGCGAUUAUAACUAUACGGACCUUGGUUACACGACCUACCCUAAUUUAUCGAAGAUGGUGUUCGCCAUAUUUAUGGUCCUGGUGCCCAUACUGCUUUUGAAUAUGCUGAUUGCGAUGAUGGGCAACACUUACGCGCAUGUGAUCGAGCAGAGCGAGAAGGAAUGGGUGAAGCAAUGGGCGAAAAUCGUGGUUUCUCUGGAGCGUGCAGUCGCGCAAAAAGAUGCGCAGAAUUAUUUGCAAGAAUACAGUAUUAAACUGGGGCCUGGAGAUGACCCGAACAACCCCGCCUCGGAACAGCGCGGAGUCCUGGUUAUUAAAAGUAAAUCGAAAACCAAGGCGAAGCAACGCAAAGGCGCGGUGGCUAAUUGGAAGCGCGUAGGCAAAGUGACGAUAAACGAAUUGAAGAAACGUGGCAUAACAGGAGAGGCGUUGCGACGAGUCAUGUGGGGUCGAGCAUCUUUCUCCACUCCUGUCAGAACAAGUCCAAACACUGCCGAGCCUCAAGUUUCAGCGGUUACGGCCGGUUUUGGGGACGCAUUGACCGCAGCGCUGGAUGUGGUGGCGUUCGCCCACGAUCUCGACUUGUCUACUGCUACGGAAGGAAUUCCGACCAACAACGACGCGAAGCAAUCGAAAUCGAAGACCGCCUGCAAGGAUCAAGUAAAAUCGGCGACGAAUAAUAAGGAGAAAGUGUCGACGAACGUUCAGCAACAACGGAAACUAACCACUGAAAAUUUGGAUAAUCUGGCGAGCAGUCGUAAUGAUAUUGACAAAAUAUCCAGCGAAUUUGUGGCCGUUCGCGAGAUGAAUUCGAAGAACGCGAGUCAUUCGAGCAUGGCCGAGGAUUUUCAGGAUCCGCUUUUGGAGCUUGUGAUUGCUUCCGAAAAUACGGACGAUCCUGAAACGCUGUUGAAAAUAGCGGAGCGGGCCGCGGCGAAUUUCGAAGUGGAGAGCAGUUCGAAAAUAAAUCUGCAAAUUUUGGAGCAAUUCACGAUGACUAAGCUACCUAUGGAGGAGAAAGUUGCCGCUACAAAGAAGCAGUACUUUGUUGAAUCGAGUGACAACGAUUUUGGUGGCGACAACCUACUCGGAACCGAGGCCCGUCUACGUAGAAUAAGAUCAGCGAACAACAGAUUUAUCACGACACGGAGACGGUCGCGGCACACCGACGACGACCUGUCAUCCACGUCGUCCACAUCCGCCGAUAGAAAUCCUCAAUAUCAGCCAUUGCUUAACGGCCCUGAGAACUUGGUGAGCCGUCAAAUCGAAAGUCGGGAGAGCUCUAUCGAAGCAAUUAAGCCGCAAGUAAAGCAGAACGGAUCAUGCGAUUCAGUGAAGAUCAAGGUUCAGAAGCGUCGACCGAAAACGGCGAAAAAUAGGGUAUCACCGAAGGAAAUAGAGGAGGCUGGUCCGAGGAGAAGAGAAUCGAUCGAGCGGAAUAAGGCGGUUUCACCGGCGACGUCGCCUACUGAUCCGCUCGAACCAUGGAGCACACGCGGCAUUAAGGACAUGAACACGAUAUUGGCUUGGGAGGAGAAUACGCCGGACAGUCCUUAACGAAACUUUACUAUAUUAUGCGCCGUGUACCUCCGGCUGACCGUUCGAUCGACAAAAUGGCAUCAAUAGUUUUUAACCUGGUAGCAAGCUGCGACGCGUCAAGUACUUGGAAGCUCGAGGUCGCUCGAAAGCCAAAUCGAGAUUCAACCGAUAUAGAGAAUUCUUGAAGGAUUCGAUGGUAACGUUGAGGAAAUAUCGAGAGAAAAAGGGAAAACACAGUCGCUACAAACGGUAUUUGUAUGUACAUCAAACAAACUCUUAUCGCAAAAUAUAGUUUCUAUUUUUUAAAUAGCUUAUCACAUUUCACUUUCACAGUAUCAAUGUUAUUUGCAGUAUUGUGUUGUUUGUAGUUGCCGACUAUAGGUAUUGGAAUACGUAUUGAUAUUUGGUGUAGAAUGCUAUUUACUGCUUUUAUCUUUUAGCCAUUUUAUUGCUAAGCAGUCAUUUCGUCCGCAACGUAUAUGCUGUAUUUUUUGUAAUGUAAAAUAUUAAGUAGGAAAUGAAAUUUGUUAGAUUUUUUGAAUAAAUGUAACCAGUAGGUGUCCCAAUAUUUAUGGCUGGUUAUAUGAAAGUAUUACCAAAUCAGAAGAAAUUUGAAACACUUAGACCUAAUUAAUAGGCAUGUAAAUGUCCAAAUAAAUACAACGAUGUACAAAUGCUUUUUUGUAGCCACUGUAUAUUGCCAGUUCGAAGUAUAUAUACAUAUAAUGUAUAUAAAUAUGUAUAAGUUUGUUUCUCCCUUAAACUGUCUGGAUACAACGCAAAGUGAUGCUAGUUCGUAUUAUGUCUGUCGUUAUUAGGCAUUUUACAUCUUGUUUCAGCGAAACGCAAUUUGUCUUACAUCGUGUAUUGUGUGUAACAUAUUUUCUUUGAAAAGGACAAAGUGAAAGUUGGCAAGAAUCUUUUUAAUUUCAAUUGUUCGAAAUGAAUUUUAUAGAACUUUUGAAAGUUGUUUUAACUUCAUAUCGCAAAAGUAAAUUGUGAUUGAGUUUCGUUAGAGAUGUUAGAGAGAUUCAGAAACAAAAUUGCAGUAAUUAACGAAUCCGAAGAAACUGCAAGUUUUUAUUCUGUUUUGAUUCCAAUAUUGUCUGAAGUAAACUCUAAGAACUUUUGAAAGUUUCUUUUACUUCAUCUCGUACAAAAAAAUUGUGACUGAGUUUAGUACGAAAUUUUAGAGUGAUACUGGAAUAAAAUUGUGGCAAUUAAUGGGGAUGAAAAAAUAUAGUUUUUUAUUCGAACAAAUUAAUUCAAACGUUAAAAUUGUAACGUUAUCAGAUCUAGUUCAUUUAUGUAUUUAAGGAACAAUAGGAUUAAAAAUUUAAUAAGAUUGUCGUCCUUGUACGUGGAUGAUACAAAGAGCGUUUUUGCUAUCCAUUUAGUUCGUUAGUUAAAUCUCUAUAAAUGAAUAACAAACGUAUCAAAUGUUCAUCCAAGAACACUUUAAUCCGAUUACAAGGAGUACGAAAAUACGAAGAUGCUAGACGAAAAGCGUUUAUUCCUUUUUAGCCUACCAACAUUGACUAAUAUCAUAAAGGACAAUGACGUAAUGAUAAAAUCAACAAAUAGCAAUUUCUUUCUGCAAAAGGAUUAAUUCUUCGCAUUUAUGAUCGCAGAAAAAAAUCAAAGAAAUCAAAGUCUUGCUGACGAACGCCACUCGUUUGAUCAGAUGUUGCUCAUUAAACUGUUCUUUGAUAUGAAAGCAUAUACAUCUCGAUAAACAAACAACAGCAACGAAAAAUAAAACUCUAGAUAUUUUGAAACAAAGUUUUGAAAGUUACUUAAUUAAAAGCUUUUACAGAAAUAUUGAAUAAUAAAAUAUAUAUAGUAAUUUGAAGUAUAGUUUGGGUAUCUAUGAAUAAACGUUGAGUUUUUGAUAGAUCAGCUUUAAGGCUUAAAGAUAUUGCUCUAGUAUAUCGAUUAUUGAAGUUUAAGAAACAAAUGUAUCAUGAUAUUAAGUAAUUUGGUAUUUAAGUAAUAUCUAAGUAAUUUUUAAAUUAUAAAAAAUAUGAAGGAAUUUAACAAAAAAUAUUACACGUGCCAAAAAAGAAAAAGAAAUAUAAAUCUUAUAAUAGUACGCCCUAUUUUAAAAAAUGACUAAAAUACUUACACGGGGCUAUACAGUUGUAAAUAUUUUAGGACAUUUUGUAGAAUAAGAUUCAAAUAGCAUUAUGUAUAAACGAUUUUUGCAUUAGAUGAAUUUUACAGUAGAUCAAUUUUAAAUAAAAACUCAUUCUAAGAUUAUUCGUAUGGUCAUUUCCUAGCUUGGGAAUUAGGAAGAGAAGAUUAAGGUUUAUACAUACGAAAAGUAAUGUGAAUUUUGAUCCAUUAAGAAAUUUCUUUUGUGUUUACUCUCAAGUCAGAAUUCGAUAGAAAUUCUAAUUUCACGUUCAAAAAUUCUAUUUUAAUUUAUAAUUUCCUAUUGUUACUGAUAUGGAUCUAGAUUAUUAAUUUUGCUCCCAUUUUUCUCACGUUCGAUUUUGAAAGUUUAUCAUGCACAUAACGCUGCACUCAUACUUAAGAAAAAUACUUAAAAAAAGUUUCCUACUAUUUAUAGGAAUGAAAGAUGUAUUGUGCAAACUUUUCCUCUUCAGAGUUACGGUCUUCGAAAACCACGUACAAAGUUACAUCGACUUCUUCGUUUAACGAUCCAAAUGUAGUCGAGCUCUUAUAACAAUGAAAAAAGAAAUACGAAAUCGUACAAUCGCAAAUGUUUUUCUUUGGAAUUUUGAAGUAGCACACAAAACGGUAUAUUUGUACGGAAGAAAGAAGCGUAGGAAAGAAAGUUACAAUUAUCGGAAAAUGCAGGAAAGAAUUUAAAUUAUUGUAACAGAAAUUAUCAUGACAAAGUUGACAAUGCAAGAGAGUAGAAGUUAUACGUAUAAGCUACUAUAGUAUACAAGAUAUACUGCAUAUACGUUUGAUACGUAAAAAUAGGGAAAUGGGAACAUAUUUUUCAGAAAUCUGACGUCUAGAGAUACGACGGAGGAAAGCGAAAUCGAAGCACACGGUUUCCAAUAUUAACAGCAACAGCAAACUGUUAUAAAUGUGUCUUUAACAAUACUAGAACUAUUGCUGUAGCAAUAACGCGGAGCGUGGAACAAUUAUCUUUUUUACGUACAUAUUUAAAAUAAAAUAUUACAUUACGUAUCCGAUGUAUUAUUUUUCCUCCAUAUUUUAUUUACUUUUUAUAAUUGAGUAAUAUGUAGAAUUGGGAAAUGUAUCGUACUUACAUUGUAUAAAGCCUCAGUUUGUGGUAUAUUGAGAAGCUCGUUUAAAUAUGUUUCGCGUAUGCUUGAUAAUUUUGGAAAUAUUUCCAAUAUUUUUAGGUGACAGGAUUUACCUACUUCUACAGUACUCCAUUUAUCGACACGAUAUUUUAGUUUGUGCCCAGAUUAACUGAAUUUUCGCUGAUUGUAGUGGGGAGAAUGGGUAAAUUCCUAAAUAAACUAAAAUAAACUUAAAUAAACUUUAAUAGGCAAUGCAUAUUAUUACGCAUAAACGCGUUGAUGCGUGCAGGAUAUGGAGCCUGGCAUCAAGAGGUUAAUUCGGUUUAUCAUCGACCUCAAGGUAUCCAGUACGCUUUAGUUAAAAAUCUGAUGCGCACGAGUGACAUUCGUAGGAUAACUUCGAGAACCAAUUUAACUAAUUAAUGGAAAAAAUAAUACAGUGUAUUUUUUCCAUUAACCAAAAUCAAAUGUCUUUCGUUGAUUUUGGGUAUCACUUACAUUCUAAAUACGUUUGCACACUUAAAUUUAUCAUGAAUAAGCAUUAAAUAAAUAUGCGUAGUUUUAUUAUCGCUAGCAUAAAUGUUCAUUAAACUAAUCAACUAUUUCAACUAUAAUGAUUAACUAUAUUGUUGUAAUUUAAUCGCUCGUAUCUUAGGUCCGUAGUUAUUCUAUCGUUUUCUACGAUCUCGUUCAAUAUUAUUCCAAAGCUAUUCUUAAAUCUAGAGCUGAAGUUCUUUUUUUAUCGAAAUAACAAUCGUUUUACUUUUGAAGUCGUUCGAAUAAUUAUAUAUAUGUUAGCGUAUACAAAGAAGUUCACACGUCAUUUCCGACGGAAAGUAAUCUUGUUUGCAUUUGAAAGUGUGCAUACGGAUGUUAUUAGAACGCACAUGUAACCGCAUGCGCUGGGCUUAACGCAACUGCGUAUACACGCGGUCGAUGUUUCAAGUUGAAACAUUCAACACUUUAAAGAAAGUCCGUGAAUUAAGAGCUUAGUUAAGAAGGCUUAGGUAAGAGAAAUGGAGGCCUCUUAGGUGCCUGAUCGCAAUAGCAUGCAAGAGCAAUUAAUUCUCUUAUCGGUGCAAUUUCAUUAAUAAAUUACGUCACUGCCCUAUUUUUAACGUGUCUAGAGAUCAACGCAGUUGUGUAUCCCGAAGCGACGCGUGGAAUUAUCGUAGGUUUGAUACAUACGUAAAAAGAAAAGAGAGGACAGAAUCUCGAGGAUCUUAUACAUAUUUUUCGUGUAAAAACGACGUAUACGCGAGAAAUGUACUAGUAGAGGUGAAAAAGUAAAUUAUUUCCAAUCUGUUCUUAUUUUAUUAUUAAUUAUUCUUUCUUGAAUUAUUCAUUAUUUAAUGUGUGUAUAGUUCUUUUUAUUUAAUCAAAGUAGCCCAGAUAAUAAAUAAUAAAUGUAUGUUUGUUAUAAUUUUAAUAUGCGACGAGGGAAAAAAUUUUGUGCACUGUUCGUGUAAUGUUGGGAUCGUUAUUAUCUAUAUUAUCAGCUUUCUUAUCAGUCACAUUAUUUUCAGAAAUGCGUAUUCGUGAUUUGUACUCUCUUUUAAAAUAUUUAACAAUAUAUGGUCUUCGUCAACUUAAUAUAUAAGUAUAAUAGUCUUUUUAAUAUUAUUUCGAUUCUUACUAAGAAGCACGAAAUUCGAAUUUUUAUUUCUUAAAAAUAAAGAUGGAAUUAAUUUCAAUGCCGCUUGAAAGGUACACCGAUAACUAGACGGUAAAUUUUUAUUUUAUGCGAGAAAUUUCAAAAUGUAUAAAUCCGUACAACACACAAAAAUAUACAAAUUGUCCAAAAUAGAGUACUUUCAGUUACGAUUUCUAUUAGAUUAAAUUGGAAUCUCUAUUUGAAUUUUAAAUGUGGCUUUAGCUAUGUCCAUAAAGAUGUAUGUACAUUUGAUAGCUAUAACGAAUCAAACUUCAACAGCUUGAAGAUAAAAAUAGGUACCACGGUAUAACAUUCGACAAACUUAACAUACUGCUUCUUCUUUAUUCCUUUUCUCCCCGAUUUUCUCGCAGAUCUAAGAACUACCGAUAUAAAAUUUUGGUUGGUCGUUUCUCCUCCAAGCGUUCUUUUGUGGCUUGGGCCAUUGCCAUUCCAACAAGACCAUGAACGAGAGGAAAGAAAAAGGCCAGCGAUAUACGAAGGCUCGCUGACUCGGAGAACUUUCCGUCUCCCGCGCGUAUUGAAACAGUAAUGAUAUGGGAAGAAGUCGGUGGGAUAACGAAAUGAAAACACGUGCUGAACAUCCGAAAAUCGUCCAACUUGUCGGUAAGUUGCGUUGGUGCCGUUUACGCGUUAUAGCGCUUCUGCCUGGGGAACGAUAUAGACGCUGUGUGCCGGAACUUUUACCAUAUGGUCGAAAUAAAAAUCAACCAAGGGAUAAUUAGCUGUGUAAAUAGUCGCAAAUACGCAAUUUCGUUACUGGACUUUUUGUACAUGGUUGACACAUUGACUGCCACGGUAUACAUCAAUGACAAACGUUUUAUUAAAUUUAGAAUGAUUGAAUUAAGAUAAAUUUCCGUGGAUCGAAAAAUUGUCGGCAAUGUGAAAAUUGAGAAAAACUGCGCAAUAUAAUAUUGUAUUAUUAUAUGAUAUAAUAUUUGCGAAAAAUAAAUGUUACGACGUAGUAUAUUUCAAUCUAUUGCGGCUCCACUGAUAAACAUAAAUUUCGCGUGUGAUAUGCAUAUAUACAAUAAAAGUACAUGAACAUUUUGAAGGAAAUUCACAAACCGUCCUUUAUAGGUAGGAGAUAUAUAGGUAAACACGUGAACCGAGUGGAAAAAUUUAAUGUUAUAAGAUUUCAAUCUUCUAUAAAAAAAUUCAAUUCCGGUAACGUGUGCAGACACUGUGUGUUAAGCGAUAAUUACAUAUUUGAUUAGAAGAUUUGUUACGAGGAGGAAAAAAAUAAUUGUAAUUAUAAGUUGCUAAUUAUUACUUUUCAUUAAUUUGCAGACGACCAGCUUUCCCAUGUUUUUACUAUGACGGUUGAUUUUGGACUGGACGACUGCUUAGAUAUAUACGUAGAUCGUUGCAUAUUUUACACGAAACGUUCCUAUUCCAGCAGAGUGAAUAUACAUGUGCUAGAUGCUGUUUCUACAUCGCUUAAAAUAAAUACUAGUACCUAUAUCGUUGAUAAUUCAAUGGAUCGUAUUCAACAGUUUUAAUCUGAAAAUAUUUAUAUCCGAAGCUAAUGUAAAAAUACCAUUAACGUAUUAUCACAUACUUAUCUGUAUUGAUCAAUGAAAUGAUCGUUUUAAUUUAUAGAAUAGCAGGCUCGUAACUAAACGUUAAACGAUUAACCGUCACCAUCGUGAAAUCUCAGUCGCGAGCGAGCGUUGGUUGCCAUCAAGGAACUGAUACGUAGGUUUGUUAUCCUCUUUUAGUUCGUUCUACCCGCUUGCUUUUUAACGAACAUCAUUUCCGGCAGGAAAAAUAUUAUCCUCCGCCGUGAGCCGGCUUGUCACUGUUUCAUUGGAAAAUCGAUUCGGAAAACAUCGCCAUGGGGUGAAGGUAGCGGCGAGAUUACCCAGACAGCAGUGAAACGCAAAAGAUAAAACGUCGCGGCGAAUUUUUGGCCGUUGAAAGCCACAACGAGAACCGGCGGAAUGACAGGUCAUAUCUCGUUCUGCUUCUUAUUGUUCUUAACGGGCUGCUAUGAUUGCAUACUACCGAGAAAAGUAUCAUCGUUCUCAGUGGGCCACGAAGACAAUCCUUACUGCCGCAUUUGCGCCAAUCACACCAUGUGCCAAUUUCCGCACGACACGGAUGGCACCAGGUGCGUGAACCUUCAGCAUACUGAUCUGAACGAGAAGGAUAUCGAGACCAUACUCGAUUGGCACAACGUUUAUCGCAACACUGUGGCGAACGGGGACGAGGAGCGAGGAAAUCCGGGACCUCAACGUCCAGCAAAGUUCAUGAUGGAGCUGGUACGAUUUAGUUUGGUCCACCAAGGCAUAAUAUAUGUGGCUAUAAAAAAGAAGGGAUAAGGUUGGAACAUGCUGACGACUGGCAUGAACAACAUUCAGGUGUUGAAUGGCAACUGUGAAGAAAUUUCAACCCUCUCUAUAGUAGAAAAAUUCCCAACCAGUCCCUUUCGACUGUUUUAUUUCAUAAAUCUGUUCAUAAACCAAAGUAUAUGCCACUUCGAUACGCGUAAACCCAAUGUAACUUGUAAACUCGAGUUAUAAAAACUUUAUAUUACGACCCAAAUAAAAACUGUCAAUUGAAGGAAA
RNA transcript from Bombus terrestris (buff-tailed bumblebee), 14999 nucleotides. RefSeq lists it as uncharacterized. The record is from RefSeq and is a predicted model, not a curated record. NCBI's taxonomy places the organism in Eukaryota, Metazoa, Arthropoda, Insecta, Hymenoptera, Apidae. The transcript has 12 exons.